GGGUCAGUAGGUUGGUCGUGCCACCAGUACGUACUGGUCUCACUGAUUCCUCCUUCCUGAAGAACCGUAAUGCCAUUGAUUUGGUGUUGCGGGGAAACAGGACUGUUACUUUGAAAAAAUUAGAGUGUUUAAAGCAAGCUAACGCUUGAAUACAUUAGCAUGGAAUAAUGAAAUAGGACGAUCGAUCCUAUUUUGUUGGUUUCUAGGAUUGACGUA
RNAcentral lists this ribosomal RNA (216 nucleotides) under Glomeromycotina sp. RNAcentral describes it as "partial small subunit ribosomal RNA". The stretch from base 40 to 216 matches the Rfam family "Eukaryotic small subunit ribosomal RNA", at positions 686 to 864 of the family's 1831-position model. The record is from RNAcentral. Lineage: Eukaryota; Fungi; Glomeromycota.